RNAcentral lists this ribosomal RNA (445 nucleotides) under uncultured bacterium. RNAcentral's name for it is "bacterial SSU rRNA". It matches the Rfam family "Bacterial small subunit ribosomal RNA", at positions 20 to 507 of the family's 1533-position model. The record is from RNAcentral.
UGGCUCAGGAUAAACGCUGGCGGCGUGCCUAACACAUGCAAGUCGAACGAUCCCGCAAGGGAGAGUGGCGGAAGGGUGAGUAACACGUGGGAAUCUACCUCCUCGCAGGGAACAACCUCUCGAAAGAGAGGCUAAUACCCAAAAGGGUCAGAAAUGAUCAGAGUCGAAAGGCGUGAGGAGAGGAGCCCGCGGCCCAUCAGCUAGUUGGUGAGGUAAUGGCUUACCAAGGCUACGACGGGUAGGGGAUCUGAGAGGAUGUCCCCCACACUGGAACUGAAACACGGUCCAGACGCCUACGGGUGGCAGCAGUGAGGAAUAUUGGACAAUGGGCGAAAGCCCGAUCCAGCAACGCCGCGUGGAGGAUGAAGGCCUUCGGGUCGUAAACUUCUUUAGAGGGAGACGAGAAAGGACGGUAUCCCUAGAAUAAGCGACGGCAAACUACGUG